GGGCCGUUAGCUCAACCGGCAGAGCAUCGGACUCUUAAUCCGAGGGUUGCAGGUUCGAGUCCUGCACGGCCCACCA
RNAcentral lists this transfer RNA (76 nucleotides) under Dictyoglomota bacterium. RNAcentral's name for it is "Dictyoglomi bacterium (hydrothermal vent metagenome) tRNA-Lys". It matches the Rfam family "tRNA". From Rfam's summary of the family: Transfer RNA (tRNA) molecules are approximately 80 nucleotides in length. Their secondary structure includes four short double-helical elements and three loops (D, anti-codon, and T loops). The record is from RNAcentral. RNAcentral also lists the same sequence under 1 other name. Lineage: Bacteria; Pseudomonadati; Dictyoglomota.